CCCACCCCCGGACCCCCAGACGCGGAGCCGACCUGCAGGAGCUCCAGCAGGUGGAAAGGCCCUGCCUUAGGCGUUGGGUCGUGGGAGGCUUUACUGUUCUCUCGACAGAGCUCGCAAGGCCCCGGGGGCCGGGAGUUUGGCGACGUCUCUUGUGACCUGAACGGUCGGUGGAUGCGCAGCAGAGUCUACCUGGGAGAGGCUGGGAAGACAGGAGAGGAGCGGCCUGGAGAAGAUGCUCAGAGGUGUUCUGGAAAGUUCCAGGGAGAAGGAGAAGCCUGGGGCCUGGGCAGAAGCCUCCAGGGGAGUCGUGGGCUGACCUCAGCAACUAGGGAGUUGUCUGAAAGGGCAGGGGGCCGGGGGCUGGAUGCUGGGGGUGACCGCAGGUGUGGGACUCAGUCCCGGGUGGGAGGCGCCCACGGUGAGGUUUGGGGACCUCCCCGGCCCGGGGUGUAUGACAGUGGCCCCACAUGCCCAGGACUCCUUGAAUUUGGAUGGGGGGGGGCAGAGUCUGAUGACACAGGAAACCGUGUGGGGCUCCCUGCCGGUCUGCCCAGGGCCUGAGUCACCUGCCCCUCCAGAGAGCUGUUCCCUGGAGCAGCCGGUUUGUCUCUUCACGAUGGGGGGCAUCCCAGCAUGAGCCGGCGUCUCCACACUUAUUGUCACCAAGAUGGUCCCAAGUUCCGUUUACCUAAAGCUCUUCGGAGGCUGUAAAUGAUUUUUUCCAGAGCUGCUAGGCUUUUAAUCUGAUAAAAUGUUUCUUCCUCCUCUUCUGUGGGAAAAAUUAAACAUAAGCAUCAAGCUUUGACAUACAA
Long non-coding RNA from Canis lupus familiaris (dog), 812 nucleotides. RefSeq lists it as uncharacterized. The record is from RefSeq and is a predicted model, not a curated record. Lineage: Eukaryota; Metazoa; Chordata; Mammalia; Carnivora; Canidae. The transcript is spliced from 2 exons.